AGUCAGACGGCUGCGUCUACUCGAGCCCUGAACAGCAAACCUGCGCUCUGUCUGACACACUCAUUGCGUCACUGGCGCAGUUAAAGGAAUCGUUGUUUCGGCCUCUUAGUUUUCGUCCACUAUUCCGGCAACCCAGGAGACUUUGAAUGAAAACUUCGCAAGGUUUAGUGGGAGAAAAUGUAACCUGUGAUACUGUAUCAGUGAUUAAUUUACAGCGGUAAACAGAGUAGCCUUUGGGGGGAGAAUGUCGACUCUUCACGAAAUCCUAACACUUCUGUGAUAAAGUAAUCUGAAAGGAAGAACAAACAAAAUGAAGAUUCACAUUUGCUUUGUUACUGGGGUAGUUUUAUCUCAUUUUGUGGUCACUUGCUUGGGGCAAGAACAGCAUAAGAAACCGUUCCUCGAUCUUCCUGCUCUAAAGGUAAGGUUCCCGGAAGGCGUCGCUCCUGAAACCGAGCUGAAAUUUAUAUCUUUCCUUGCGUCGCUCAGCACUUCAGACAAUGCAACUCUAUUAACGUUCCUCACAGACAACAACAGCGUAUAUCACGUUUUAAACCUCCCCGUAGCCCGAGUGAGAAGACGCUGACAAAUUUAAUCAAGUUGGAGGACGGAUGGGAAGGGAAUUUCGUCCUCUUCGGGGAUCGGGAAAAUGCUGUCAUAUUCCAUGUUGUCGUUUUUAGAUAAUAAAGGUUUGUAGUAAACGA
Long non-coding RNA from Macrobrachium nipponense, 704 nucleotides. RefSeq lists it as uncharacterized. The record is from RefSeq and is a predicted model, not a curated record. Lineage: Eukaryota; Metazoa; Arthropoda; Malacostraca; Decapoda; Palaemonidae. The transcript has 3 exons.